AGAGAAGAAAUAAAAGCAAUAAUUGUGUUUGUUUGUGUCUAUUCAAAAGUCACACACACUUUUGCUUUUCUUCUUCGCAACCUCCGAGAAUUUUUCAUUCAUCCUUUUCAACAUAGAUACGCAUGUUUCUGUUUCUCUCCAGUCUCUUCAAAAGGUUGAUUUUUAAUGAUUUUGAAAAAGUUUAAUUUAUGGGUUUGAAAGAUUGUUGUUGUUUGAUUUUUUGGGUUUGAUUUUGAUGAUGAUAUUAUGUGUUGUUGUUAUUGAUUUGAUUUUCUGAGUUUAAUUUAUGGAUUUGAUUUAUGGGUUAUAUGAAGAUUGACUAAGAAGUAUGAAUGUGAUGAUGAAGGAGAUGAAGGAAGAAUAAGAAAUAAGAAAAAGGGCUUAAUAAGUCAUUUGGUCUCUUAAUUAAUUUCAAGUUUUCAUUUUGGUCCCAUAACUAAUAAAAUUCAUGUUUUGGUCCUUCAAUUGUAUCUCCGUCGGUCAAAUAAAUCUCUGACUGUUAAGUUUAACCCCAAAUGCUUAUAGUGAACUAACUUUAAGGGUGGUCCACUAUAGACCUUAUUAAAUCUUUAAUUUAAACCGUUUGAUAUAUUUUUUAAAAAGAUGACCAUUUGAUUAUGCAUGUCUAUUAUAACUUACCGUGUACCAACAACUAAUUUUUUUCCCUUUCUUUCUUCAUCUUCUACCUUACUAAUCUUCAUCAUCUUCAACUCACAUUUUCAAACAUUCAUCAAAGAACUUCAUCGAAAAAUAUCCAGAAAAAUAAAUGUUUCAUAUCUAUCACAAAUCACAAAUAAAAAACAACAAGAACCAUAUCCAAUUUCAUCUCCAAUUUCAACUUCAACAAUUUCAAUGGAGAAGUGAUUAAAGACUUAGUGUCGUUUGCAUAAUUGACAUUCCUUUCACUAAACAUUGCUGCUAUAUUCAAUUUAGCCUUAUGGGUCAUAUUUUUUUUACUUAUUCUCUUCAUUAACUAUCAGAUCCAAAAUCUCGAUAUAGCUACAUCUCACGACGACCAAGCUGCACCUGGUGCUACAAUAACUCAUGUUUGUUAUUGUUUCCAGAAACAAAUUGCAGCUUAUUGUUAAUGGCCAGGCAUUGAAGAGAUAAAGGGUCGAGGAAGGGUGGAGUCUUGAAAAUGGGUCAUGCGUGGUGCAGUGGCGGAACUGGGGUGGCAAGGGGGAGCCACCGCCACCCCAUUAUUUAAAUGCUUCCUGUUUAUCCCACAAAAUAGCCAAACUUGAUACAGUGUUGCGUCUAAAUGCUUC
This 1268-nucleotide long non-coding RNA is filed under the name Medicago truncatula (barrel medic). Its description in RNAcentral is "long non-coding RNA (MTRU_LNC005242)". The record is from RNAcentral. Lineage: Eukaryota; Viridiplantae; Streptophyta; Magnoliopsida; Fabales; Fabaceae.